This 265-nucleotide ribosomal RNA is filed under the name uncultured Staphylococcus sp. RNAcentral describes it as "partial 16S ribosomal RNA". It matches the Rfam family "Bacterial small subunit ribosomal RNA", at positions 96 to 355 of the family's 1533-position model. The record is from RNAcentral. Lineage: Bacteria; Bacillati; Bacillota; Bacilli; Caryophanales; Staphylococcaceae.
CGGCGGACGGGUGAGUAACACGUAGAUAACCUACCUAUAAGACUGGGAUAACUUCGGGAAACCGGAGCUAAUACCGGAUAAUAUAUUGAACCGCAUGGUUCAAUGGUGAAAGACGGUUUUGCUGUCACUUAUAGAUGGAUCCGCGCCGCAUUAGCUAGUUGGUAAGGUAACGGCUUACCAAGGCAACGAUGCGUAGCCGACCUGAGAGGGUGAUCGGCCACACUGGAACUGAGACACGGUCCAGACUCCUACGGGAGGCAGCAGU